Acanthosepion pharaonis is the source of this 111-nucleotide non-coding RNA. The record is from the annotation of a GenBank genome assembly. NCBI's taxonomy places the organism in Eukaryota, Metazoa, Mollusca, Cephalopoda, Sepiida, Sepiidae.
UACAGCCACAUCAUGUUGAAACACUGGUUCUCAUACAAUUACUGAAGUUCAGCAUCAUCAAGCCUGGUCAGUACAUAGAUGGGUGACCACUUGGGAAUACCAGGUGCUGUA